Long non-coding RNA from Cyprinus carpio carpio, 1924 nucleotides. Lineage: Eukaryota; Metazoa; Chordata; Actinopteri; Cypriniformes; Cyprinidae. The record is from Ensembl.
GCUGGUCAUUUUGUGUCAGGAUAAACAAAAACAAAAAAAAAGUGAAAUUUGUUUUUUGUGAAAAGUUCAUUUUUUGGCCAAUGAGGCUUAUAGCAAUUAUUUAAAAUACAUCUGGUCACUCUACACAAUAAUCUAGAAACAAUGUGAAUGAACACCACAACAGCUUAAGCAGCAGACUUUGCAAAACACAAAAUUUACAUCACAGCCAAAACUUUUGGCCAUGACUGUAUAUUGUGGUGACAACAUAAAGCAUCAAUUGAUUGAGAUUUUGCAAUAUAACUUACAUUGCGGUACAGAAAUAUAGUCAUACAGCACAGUGCUACAUAAUCUACUACUAAUUCUCUAACCCAGUGUUUUUCUAAUGCUGUAUGAACCUCUUUUUGUCAGACCACAAAAAGGAGAAAAAAAAAAAAAAAAAAACACAAUGCUUGUCUAUAUAAUGGCAGUAAGUAGCGAGCUGCUUCAAGCUGUCACGUGUUGGUGCUGUAAGGAGCACAAGAAGAUGGAGAAUUCCAAAUAACAGUCCUUUAAUAAAUCCACAGAAGAAACAGUGGAGAAACUAAGGGAAAUGCAGCACAACCAACAUCUAACAUCAAACAAUAACCGGCAAGGACUGAACAGAAAUGGGGAGUACUUAUACAAAAGAGAGUCCCAAAAGUACUUAUACAAAAGAGUGUCCCAAAACAGGACACAUGUUAACAGAAUAAACUAAUCAAGGGAACUAAGGAAAACUAGGUCAAGGAACAAAACUAAACAGGAGAACAGGAAAAGAUACAACAGUCCAUGAACGGAACAUAACUGUGACCAUACUCCACCCUCCGGCCAGGCGGAAUUAGGAGGAGAACAUAGAAAUGGAGCAUGGAUGGUGACAGAGAAGGGCCAGCAGGAAAGCCGGUGGAUGACCAGGGCUGCGACGACGGAGGGAGGAUACAAGGAGCUGAUUGAGGGAGGGGCCAUGGUGGAGGAAGUGCUGACGACUUCAGGGAGCCGGCCGACAGCGUCAGAACAGGUGGGAUAGGAGCCCGGGCCAGAGAUGGAGAGCCAUAAACCCAGGGCGUCGGGGAGGAUCUGGAAGGCCGCAGUGGAGCCGGAGCGACAGAGGACCAAGGUGAAGCUGGAGGGGAGGGAGGAGCCCAACAGAGCAGGUGGGACGGAUUGAUGAGGCGCAGCCGGAGGAGUGAAGUCCUGAGGCAAUGGCGGGUCAACAACUGACCAAAGCAAAGCUGGAGGGACAAGGGAGCAUGGUGGAGCUGGUGGACUGACGGGCCAUGGCGGAAAGGAGGGAGCUAAGAGCCAUGGUGGAGCCACUGGGUCAACAGGCCGAGGCGGAGUCCGGCUCUGGGGCUGGUGAGUUCCUCAUCAUCGUGACAGACAGUGAACGGGGAUCCCUUUCUCACCAGUACCCACUCCACAAAGGCGGUGAAACUCUCCCGAAGACCAUCUUCGGAUGGCCGCGCUCUACAAGACGACGGAGAAUUCCAAAUAACAGUCCUUUAAUAAAUACACAGAAGAAACAAUGGAGAAAAUACAGCACAACCAACAUCUAACAUCAAACAAUAACCGGCAAGGACUGAACAGAAACGUGGAGUACUUAUACAAAAGCAAGAGAGGGACUAAUGACUAAAUUAACAGGACACAGGUGAACAGAAUGAACUAAUCAAGGGAACUAAGAAAUAGUAGGUCAAGGAACAAAACUAAACAGGAGAACAGGAAAUGAAAGAAACACAACCAAAGUCCAUGAACGGAACUUAACUGUGACACAAGCUUUAAAGAAAAAGAUGAAAAGGUAUCAUAAGUGACUCAUGUCGUGUUCUGAGGGCAUAUGAUAAUGUUUGAUUAAAAUUUACAUUAUUAUUUUGCAAAAAUCCUGACUAUGGCCAUUAAGCCACUGGUUAAAAAGGAUUUAGUUUUCCACAGAAGUAAG